RNAcentral lists this ribosomal RNA (497 nucleotides) under uncultured bacterium. RNAcentral describes it as "partial 16S ribosomal RNA". It matches the Rfam family "Bacterial small subunit ribosomal RNA", at positions 28 to 507 of the family's 1533-position model. The record is from RNAcentral.
GAUGAACGCUGGCGGCGUGCCUAAUACAUGCGAGUCGAGCGAACAGACGAGGAGCUUGCUCCUCUGACGUUAGCGGCGGACGGGUGAGUAACACGUGGAUAACCUACCUAUAAGACUGGGAUAACUUCGGGAAACCGGAGCUAAUACCGGAUAAUAUAUUGAACCGCAUGGUUCAAUAGUGAAAGACGGUUUUGCUGUCACUUAUAGAUGGAUCCGCGCCGCAUUAGCUAGUUGGUAAGGUAACGGCUUACCAAGGCAACGAUGCGUAGCCGACCUGAGAGGGUGAUCGGCCACACUGGAACUGAGACACGCUCCAGACUCCUACGGGAGGCAGCAGUAGGGAAUCUUCCGCAAUGGGCGAAAGCCUGACGGAGCAACGCCGCGUGAGUGAUGAAGGUCUUCGGAUCGUAAAACUCUGUUAUUAGGGAAGAACAAAUGUGUAAGUAACUAUGCACGUCUUGACGGUACCUAAUCAGAAAGCCACGGCUAACUACGUG